GACGAACGCUGGCGGCGUGCUUAACACAUGCAAGUCGAACAGAAAGGCCCUUCGGGGUACUCGAGUGGCGAACGGGUGAGUAACACGUGGGUGAUCUGCCCUGCACUUUGGGAUAAGCCUGGGAAACUGGGUCUAAUACCGAAUAGGACCACGCGCUUCAUGGUGUGUGGUGGAAAGCUUUUGCGGUGUGGGAUGGGCCCGCGGCCUAUCAGCUUGUUGGUGGGGUAAUGGCCUACCAAGGCGACGACGGGUAGCCGGCCUGAGAGGGUGACCGGCCACACUGGGACUGAGAUACGGCCCAGACUCCUACGGGAGGCAGCAGUGGGGAAUAUUGCACAAUGGGCGCAAGCCUGAUGCAGCGACGCCGCGUGAGGGAUGACGGCCUUCGGGUUGUAAACCUCUUUCAAUAGGGACGAAGCGCAAGUGACGGUACCUAUAGAAGAAGCACCGGCCAACUACGUG
Molecule: ribosomal RNA, 462 nt
Filed under: uncultured bacterium
Lineage: Bacteria
Description: partial 16S ribosomal RNA
Rfam family: Bacterial small subunit ribosomal RNA
Source: RNAcentral